This 560-nucleotide long non-coding RNA is filed under the name Ananas comosus (pineapple). Its description in RNAcentral is "long non-coding RNA (ACOM_LNC034084)". Lineage: Eukaryota; Viridiplantae; Streptophyta; Magnoliopsida; Poales; Bromeliaceae. The record is from RNAcentral.
CUCCUGGCGCAAACACUACAACAAAAUUAGGUUAUAGGGACACAUGUUUAGGACACUUUUGUCUAAGUGUCCCAUUUAUGUCAAAAUUUAAAAGAAACAUCUACUAAUGUCUAAAUAUAAAGCCGAAUCCAACAAAAAAAUAAAAGGUUACUAUACUCAACCCACCCAACCCAAACCAUUUGGCCCGAUUCCAAACUGAAAUGAAAAAAAAAAAAAAAAAAUCGAUUACUAUCUCCCCUUCUCCCCUCACUUAAUCCACUGAAAUUCUAGACGAAGGGCCCUUCCCUCUCGUCCUCCUCAGCCGCCGCAGCCAACGAGAUAGAGUUCUGACGAUUGCUAGAUGCUUAAAUAAGUGUUGCUAAAUUAGCAGCACUUUUUUUGGUUAUAGUGACACUCUUUAACUGUCGCUAUAUAUCUAGCGUCCCCACAUAUAGAAACACUUUUUAAAAGUGUCGGUAAUUUCGCCAACAGCACUUUUUUUGACUUAUACCGACAUUUAAAAGUGUCGCUAUAGACCGCUUUUAUUGUAGUGAAACUGCACAAAUCCUGCUCCAUCUUCC